Molecule: ribosomal RNA, 253 nt
Filed under: uncultured bacterium
Lineage: Bacteria
Description: partial 16S ribosomal RNA
Rfam family: Bacterial small subunit ribosomal RNA
Source: RNAcentral
UACGUAGGGUGCAAGCGUUAAUCGGAAUUACUGGGCGUAAAGCGUGCGCAGGCGGCUUUGCAAGACAGAUGUGAAAUCCCCGGGCUCAACCUGGGAACUGCAUUUGUGACUGCAUGGCUGGAGUGCGGCAGAGGGGGAUGGAAUUCCGCGUGUAGCAGUGAAAUGCGUAGAUAUGCGGAGGAACACCGAUGGCGAAGGCAGCCCCCUGGGUUAACACUGACGCUCAUGCACGAAAGCGUGGGGAGCAAACAGG